This 497-nucleotide ribosomal RNA is filed under the name uncultured bacterium. Its description in RNAcentral is "partial 16S ribosomal RNA". It matches the Rfam family "Bacterial small subunit ribosomal RNA", at positions 28 to 507 of the family's 1533-position model. The record is from RNAcentral.
GAUGAACGCUGGCGGCGUGCCUAAUACAUGCAAGUCGAGCGAACGGACGAGAAGCUUGCUUCUCUGAUGUUAGCGGCGGACGGGUGAGUAACACGUGGAUAACCUACCUAUCAGACUGGGAUAACUUCGGGAAACCGUAGCUAAUACCGGAUAAUCUUUUGAACCGCAUGGUUCAAAAGUGAAAGACGGUCUUGCUGUCACUUAUAGAUGGAUCCGCGCUGCAUUAGCUAGUUGGUAAGGUAACGGCGUACCAAGGCAACGAUGCAUAGCCGACCUGAGAGGGUGAGCGGCCACACUGGAACUGAGACACGGUACAGACGCCUAGGGGAGGCAGCAGUAGGGAAUCUGCCGCAAUGGGCGAAAGCCUGACGGAGAAACGCCGCGUGAGUGAUGAAGGUCUUCGGAUCGUAAAACUCGGUUAUUAGGGAAGAACAUAUGUGUAAGAAACUGGGCACAUAUUGACGGUACCUAAUCAGAAAGCCACGGCUAAAUAAGGG